GCCAGCAGCGAUAUCACCCGGCAACUCACAACUCACAACUGUCAGUCUCAGCAGGUGUGAGCCUGGUCAGUACCCGGAUGGGAGACCUCCUGAGAAAAACUAAGGGUGCUGCUGGAA
RNAcentral lists this ribosomal RNA (117 nucleotides) under Lepisosteus oculatus (spotted gar). The record is from RNAcentral. Lineage: Eukaryota; Metazoa; Chordata; Actinopteri; Semionotiformes; Lepisosteidae.